CAUUCAGAAAAUACUCUUUAGACGUCUAGCCUCCCUCUCCAUUCUCUAGUUCAUUGUUGGCGUUUCAAGCAAGGCAAGGAAGAAGGAAGAACAAGCCGUGAGCAUCCCUCCACCAUCCACCUUGGAGCCGUGAAGCUUGAAUAUUUGCUUUCAAAGUUCAAGUUCAACGUCCAAAUUCUUCAUUCCCAUCUUCAUUCACGGUGUAAUUCAACCUUGGCCCUUGUGUACCCUCAAUCCCUGGAUUAGAUCGAUCCCUACUUGCUUAUACUAUUGAUGAUAUCUAUAGGGUUAAAUUAUGCGCUUGCUUUGAGCGUAUCAAAGCUCUCCUGCUUUUGAUCACAACUAUACCAGUCUUGCAACACGAUUUGCCAUGGAUUGACCAGAAUCUGGAAGUGAAGUUCAACGGUGAACAGUUGCCGAUCUAGCUUUUGAGCUUGAUCGCGGCCGAUCAAGGCCAAAUCGACCUUAGCUCCAGGUACUUGACAGAGAGUGUUCUAUAUGUUAUCUCGGCUGUGAGAGAAGAAGCAGUGGGAUUUUGAGGUGAGUAAAUCUCAUGGUGUUUUGGUUGUGAAAUUAGCUAUGUUUUAAUUUAGUAGAUUUAAAUUGUUAGCAUGUAAAAUCGUAUUUAACAAAAUAAAUAUAUAUUUUUUAAAUAUAUGAACUUGAUUGUCAACGGUUCAUGGGUAAGUUAAAAAAAUGUUUUGUUAUAAAAUGAUUUUUGAGUGGUAUAAUUUGUAAAACUAUAGUUGGUAUUAGUGACAUUCCUGAGUGGAUGACUACGUGUGUGUAUAUAUAUAUAUAUUUACAUGAAAAAUAUAUAUCUUACUGGAAUUGGACGUUUUGUUUACUUUUGUUGUGCGAUGUGAUUUUGAGGAAAACAGAUGAAAAUGGACAGAAAGAUGGUUUUGUUGGAUUGAGCUUUGAUUUAGGUGUGUACGAUUUUGAUGAAGGUUUUGAGAUGUGAACAUAUUAUUUUGGAAAUGGUUUCGCUAUUGUUUUGCGGUGGUUGGAGAUGCGGAAACAAUAUUAUAUGAUAACCAAUGUUGUGAUCUGUGUGAUGAUUUUGUGUAAAGAACGUGGAUGAUUUUGUGUAAAUGAAUUGGAUUGUUAUUAAGUGAUUAAUGUUGAGAUUCAUGUUAUGGUGAUUAGUGUUAUAAAUGGAUAAAUUUGUAUUGAUUUCUAGUUUAUUUCUAGUAUUGAAUUGCUUAUUUUUAUUAGUAAUCUCCUGAACUAAUUAUCUGCAGGGAUUGCUAUUUCUUUGUAUUAUUUAAGCUGCAUGUAAUCACCUUAACUAAAUCAUAUGCAGGGGUUACCAUAUUGUUUUGGAAUUGUUUGACUUUAUUAUUCUGACCUACUAUUGUGGUUGGAGUUUACUCAUACAAGCUGUCAAAAGCUUACCGGGUUUAUUGUUGCAACCCGGUGCACUAUUCAAUAGUGUAAAUAUUGAUCCUGCAGGUUAGAGUAGUCGUAGCUAAAGUAAGAGUUUUGUUGUCGCAACUGUAGGUGUUCAGAAGUUAAUUUUGUUACUUUGACCUUUUUUAGACUUCUGUUUGUAGCAAGCUCUGAGAGAGCAUUUACUUAUUAUUUUGUUAACGCAAUUUAAUUUGUAAACUUAUGUAAUAUCAUAUAUGACGUUAAAGAACAAGUCUGUAUUGACAUUGUGAGUUCGAAACUUAGUAGUAGACUUGUUCUAAAAAGAAAAUUUUCCUGGUCUUUAGGGUCGAUGUUCGAAUCAUCACGCCCAGUGUAUUUGUGCUUGAAAAUCAGGGCGUGACAUAGCAAGCCAAUCACACAUAGUACUUAGACCCUGACAUAAAUAAUUAGCUAA
Rosa chinensis is the source of this 1828-nucleotide long non-coding RNA. RefSeq lists it as uncharacterized. The transcript is spliced from 3 exons. The record is from RefSeq and is a predicted model, not a curated record. Lineage: Eukaryota; Viridiplantae; Streptophyta; Magnoliopsida; Rosales; Rosaceae.